Molecule: ribosomal RNA, 460 nt
Filed under: uncultured bacterium
Lineage: Bacteria
Description: partial 16S ribosomal RNA
Rfam family: Bacterial small subunit ribosomal RNA
Source: RNAcentral
CCUACGGGUGGCAGCAGUGAGGAAUAUUGGUCAAUGGACGAGAGUCUGAACCAGCCAAGUAGCGUGAAGGAUGACUGCCCUAUGGGUUGUAAACUUCUUUUAUAUGGGAAUAAAACGUUCCACGUGUGGGAUUUUGUAUGUACCAUAUGAAUAAGGAUCGGCUAACUCCGUGCCAGCAGCCGCGGUAAUACGGAGGAUCCGAGCGUUAUCCGGAUUUAUUGGGUUUAAAGGGAGCGUAGGUGGAUUGUUAAGUCAGUUGUGAAAGUUUGCGGCUCAACCGUAAAAUUGCAGUUGAAACUGGCAGUCUUGAGUACAGUAGAGGUGGGCGGAAUUCGUGGUGUAGCGGUGAAAUGCUUAGAUAUCACGAAGAACUCCGAUUGCGAAGGCAGUUCACUGGACUGCAACUGACACUGAGGCCCGAAAGUGUGGGUAUCAAACAGGAUUAGAUACCCUAGUAGUC